GUCUACCAUGCAGUCGACGGUAACAGGAAGUAGCUUGCUACUUUGCUGACGAGUGGCGCACGGGUGAGUAAUAUAUAGGUAAUGUGCCCCUUGGACCGGGAUAGCCACUGGAAACGGUGAUUAAUACCGGAUACUCCUUCUAACUCUAAUGUUAGUCGGGAAAGUUUUUCGCUAAAAGAUCGGUCUAUAUCCCAUCAGUUAGUUGGUAAGGUAACGGCUUACCAAGGCAAUGACGGGUAGCGGGUUUGAGAGGAUGAUCCGCCACACUGGUACUGAGACACGGACCAGACUCCUACGGGAGGCAGCAGUGAGGAAUAUUGCACAAUGGGGGAAACCCUGAUGCAGCAACGCCGCGUGGAGGAUGACGCAUUUCGGUGUGUAAACUCCUUUUAUAUGUCAAGAAAAUGACGGUAGCAUAUGAAUAAGCACCGGCUAACUCCGUGCCAGCAGCCGCGGUAAUACGGAGGGUGCAAGCGUUAUUCGGAAUCACUGGGCGUAAAGGACGCGUAGGCGGGUUGGUAAGUCAGAUGUGAAAUCCUACAGCUUAACUGUAGAACUGCAUUUGAAACUACUAACCUAGAGUAUGGGAGGGGGAGAUGGAAUUAGUGGUGUAGGGGGUAAAAUCCG
RNAcentral lists this ribosomal RNA (627 nucleotides) under uncultured bacterium. RNAcentral describes it as "bacterial SSU rRNA". It matches the Rfam family "Bacterial small subunit ribosomal RNA", at positions 46 to 690 of the family's 1533-position model. The record is from RNAcentral.